Small nucleolar RNA from Trifolium pratense (red clover), 128 nucleotides. RefSeq annotates it as small nucleolar RNA snoR74. The transcript has a single exon. NCBI's taxonomy places the organism in Eukaryota, Viridiplantae, Streptophyta, Magnoliopsida, Fabales, Fabaceae. The record is from RefSeq and is a predicted model, not a curated record.
CAAAAAGCAGUGGUUUGUUGCCUAUGUGGGCAGGCCUCUCGUAACCUUCAGGUAUAUAAUUGCCACUGUUAUUGGGUGAACCUAUGUUUAUUUUUGUAACUCAAGGUUCAGUAAACGAUGGAACAUUU